Molecule: long non-coding RNA, 215 nt
Filed under: Hordeum vulgare
Lineage: Eukaryota; Viridiplantae; Streptophyta; Magnoliopsida; Poales; Poaceae
Description: long non-coding RNA (HVUL_LNC000915)
Source: RNAcentral
GAAUAUACACUAAGUUAUGAGCUAGCCAAGGUUCUUGUGAUGUUUUUUUACCUAAAUAAGCUGAUUAUGUCAUAAAUGAACUAAAUUAGCUAAUUAUGUCAUUUUGGAGGAUAAUUAGCCAAGUGUGUCUUUCAUGGGGAAAAUAAGUUAAGGAGAAGAAGAAAGAGGAGAAGAAGAAGGAGAAGAAGAAGAAGGAGAAGAAGGAGGAGGAGGAG